GAAGCCCCAGUAAACGGCGGCCGUAACUAUAACGGUCCUAAGGUAGCGAAAUUCCUUGUCGGGUAAGUUCCGACCUGCACGAAUGGCAUAAUGAUGGCCAGGCUGUCUCCACCCGAGACUCAGUGAAAUUGAAAUCGCCGUGAAGAUGCGGUGUACCCGCGGCUAGACGGAAAGACCCCGUGAACCUUUACUAUAGCUUGACACUGAACAUUGAAUUUUGAUGUGUAGGAUAGGUGGGAGACUU
This 244-nucleotide ribosomal RNA is filed under the name Haemophilus sp. HMSC061E01. RNAcentral's name for it is "partial 23S ribosomal RNA". It matches the Rfam family "Bacterial large subunit ribosomal RNA", at positions 1914 to 2157 of the family's 2925-position model. Lineage: Bacteria; Pseudomonadati; Pseudomonadota; Gammaproteobacteria; Pasteurellales; Pasteurellaceae. The record is from RNAcentral.